GUGCUGCAACUUCCAAGGCGUGCUUGACCAGCUAAAAUGUGGAGUGAAUAGCCACUAAAAAAGUCUCAAGCACUUGCAUUUCCCCCCUAUAAAAGGGCAAAGUAUUAGUAGUCCUGGAGACAUGCUUGUUAUACUUAGCUUUUUCUUCCUCUUCUCAUUAGUUUUGCUCAAUGGCUAAAUCCCAUUCUGCUAGUACUAUAAGCCUUUCCAUGAUUUCUAUAGCGCCACUACUAUUUGCCAUGCUGAUGGCUAGCUUAGACACAACAGGUGCCCAAAUAGGUGUUUGUUAUGGAAUGCUUGGUAACCUACCACCACAAAGAGAAGUGGUAGCGCUUUACAACCAAUAUAACAUCCGAAGAAUGAGACUCUAUGAUCCAAACCAAGCUGCUCUACAAGCCCUCAGAGGCACCAAUAUUGAGCUCACCCUUGGUGUCCCCAAUGACCAGCUUGGAAACAUUGCUUCCAACCAAGCCAAUGCAAACACAUGGGUCCAAAACAAUGUGAAAAACUAUGGCAAUGUCAAAUUCAAAUACAUUGCAGUUGGAAAUGAAGUAGACCCCUUAGGUCCAAAUGCAAGGUUUGUUCUCCCUGCCUUGAGAAACAUACAAAAUGCAAUUUCCACUGCUGGCCUUGGCAACCAAAUCAAAGUUUCCACUGCCGUUGACACCGGAAUCCUAAAAGUAUCCUACCCUCCAUCAAAUGGCUCCCUCAAGCCCGAAUUCUGACCAUUUCUUGAUCCUAUCAUCAGCUUCUUAGUGAACAAGAAGUCCCCAUUACUUGUUAACUUGUACCCUUAUCUUAGUUACAAGGAUAACCCCAAUGGCAUCCGCCUUGACUAUGCUCUUUUCACUGCUCCUUCAACUGUAGUGAGCGAUCCCCCACUCAGUUAUCGCAACCUUUUCGAUGCCAUUCUCGAUGCUGUUUACACGGCUUUAGAGAGGGCCGGUGGGGGGUCUUUGGUGAUUGUUAUAUCAGAGACUGGUUGGCCUUCAGCUGGAGGGACAGCGACAACACUUGAUAAUGAAAGAACUUACAUCAACAAUUUGAUUCAACAUGUGAAGGGAGGGACUCCAAAGAAGCCUGGAAGACCUAUAGAAACUUAUGUGUUUGCCAUGUUUGAUGAGAAUCAAAAAAAUCCAGAGUUUGAGAAACACUGGGGGCUUUUUCUACCAAACAAGCAGCCUAAGUUCCAAGUUAAUUUCAACUAAAGAUUGCAUAUCAUGAGCACUUUAUGCAUGGAAUAAGAAAGCUUCUUGUUCUUCCUUUUUAUUAUGAUCAUAAAUAAAGAAGGCAAAUAAUCUUGGACUAAA
RNA transcript from Quercus lobata, 1310 nucleotides. It is a transcript of the gene named glucan endo-1,3-beta-glucosidase, basic isoform-like, with no coding region annotated. Lineage: Eukaryota; Viridiplantae; Streptophyta; Magnoliopsida; Fagales; Fagaceae. The record is from RefSeq and is a predicted model, not a curated record. The transcript has 2 exons.